RNAcentral lists this ribosomal RNA (460 nucleotides) under uncultured bacterium. RNAcentral describes it as "partial 16S ribosomal RNA". It matches the Rfam family "Bacterial small subunit ribosomal RNA", at positions 338 to 795 of the family's 1533-position model. The record is from RNAcentral.
CCUACGGGAGGCAGCAGUGAGGAAUAUUGGUCAAUGGACGAGAGUCUGAACCAGCCAAGUAGCGUGAAGGAUGACUGCCCUAUGGGUUGUAAACUUCUUUUAUCAAGGAAUAAAACGAGGCACGUGUGCCUUUUUGCAUGUACUUUAUGCAUAAGGAUCGGCUAACUCCGUGCCAGCCGCCUCGGUAAUACGGAGGAUACGAGCGUUAUCCGGAUUUAUUGGGUUUAAAGGGAGCGUAGGUGGGUUGUUAAGUCAGUUGUGAAAGUUUGCGGCUCAACCGUAAAAUUGCAGUUGAUACGGGCAGUCUUGAGUACAGUAGAGGUAGGCGGAAUUCGUGGUGUAGCGGUGAAAUGCUUAGAUAUCACGAAGAACCCCGAUUGCGAAGGCAGCUUACUAAACUGUGACUGACAUUGAUGCUCGAAAGUGUGGGUAUCAAACAGGAUUAGAUACCCGAGUAGUC